RNAcentral lists this transfer RNA (75 nucleotides) under Campylobacter sp. Its description in RNAcentral is "tRNA-Glu". It matches the Rfam family "tRNA". From Rfam's summary of the family: Transfer RNA (tRNA) molecules are approximately 80 nucleotides in length. Their secondary structure includes four short double-helical elements and three loops (D, anti-codon, and T loops). Lineage: Bacteria; Pseudomonadati; Campylobacterota; Epsilonproteobacteria; Campylobacterales; Campylobacteraceae. RNAcentral also lists the same sequence under 2 other names. The record is from RNAcentral.
GGCCCCUUCGUCUAGCGGUUAGGACAUCGGCCUCUCACGCCGGUAACACGAGUUCGAGUCUCGUAGGGGUCACCA